AUACUUACCUGGCAGGGGAGAUACCAUGAUCAUGAGGUGGUUCACCUAGAGAGGCCGAGGCUCAGCCAUUGCAUGAUUGUGUAACCGAUGCAAUUCCUCAAAUGUGGGAAUCUCGACUGCAUAAUUUGUGGUAGUUGGGGACUGCGUCCGCGCUCUCCCUGA
Hippoglossus stenolepis (Pacific halibut) is the source of this 162-nucleotide small nuclear RNA. RefSeq annotates it as U1 spliceosomal RNA. The transcript has a single exon. The record is from RefSeq and is a predicted model, not a curated record. Lineage: Eukaryota; Metazoa; Chordata; Actinopteri; Pleuronectiformes; Pleuronectidae.